GGAGACUUUAAGAAGCAGCAGCUCUGCUUCUGUUCACAUUUCAAUUGAUUUGAUGACUUUAACUGCAGCUGAUCAGCUGGAAAAUACAUUUGGUUCCAGUCAACAUGUUGCUUCUUUUGAGAGUUUUCUUCCUCCCAGCUGUUUUGGUUCAUUGUGCCGGUGGAGAAGCUGAUCUCUUCAUCACUGCACCGAGGAGUCUGGAAGCAGUGACUGGAUCCUGUUUGAUUAUCCCCUGUAGCUUCAGACCUGCUUCAGAGAAAGAGAGACAG
This is a long non-coding RNA of Salarias fasciatus (jewelled blenny), 269 nucleotides long. RefSeq lists it as uncharacterized. The record is from RefSeq and is a predicted model, not a curated record. The transcript has 3 exons. NCBI's taxonomy places the organism in Eukaryota, Metazoa, Chordata, Actinopteri, Blenniiformes, Blenniidae.